RNAcentral lists this ribosomal RNA (1530 nucleotides) under Klebsiella pneumoniae. RNAcentral describes it as "bacterial SSU rRNA". It matches the Rfam family "Bacterial small subunit ribosomal RNA". The record is from RNAcentral. Lineage: Bacteria; Pseudomonadati; Pseudomonadota; Gammaproteobacteria; Enterobacterales; Enterobacteriaceae.
AGAGUUUGAUCAUGGCUCAGAUUGAACGCUGGCGGCAGGCCUAACACAUGCAAGUCGAGCGGUAGCACAGAGAGCUUGCUCUCGGGUGACGAGCGGCGGACGGGUGAGUAAUGUCUGGGAAACUGCCUGAUGGAGGGGGAUAACUACUGGAAACGGUAGCUAAUACCGCAUAAUGUCGCAAGACCAAAGUGGGGGACCUUCGGGCCUCAUGCCAUCAGAUGUGCCCAGAUGGGAUUAGCUAGUAGGUGGGGUAACGGCUCACCUAGGCGACGAUCCCUAGCUGGUCUGAGAGGAUGACCAGCCACACUGGAACUGAGACACGGUCCAGACUCCUACGGGAGGCAGCAGUGGGGAAUAUUGCACAAUGGGCGCAAGCCUGAUGCAGCCAUGCCGCGUGUGUGAAGAAGGCCUUCGGGUUGUAAAGCACUUUCAGCGGGGAGGAAGGCGUUAAGGUUAAUAACCUUGGCGAUUGACGUUACCCGCAGAAGAAGCACCGGCUAACUCCGUGCCAGCAGCCGCGGUAAUACGGAGGGUGCAAGCGUUAAUCGGAAUUACUGGGCGUAAAGCGCACGCAGGCGGUCUGUCAAGUCGGAUGUGAAAUCCCCGGGCUCAACCUGGGAACUGCAUUCGAAACUGGCAGGCUAGAGUCUUGUAGAGGGGGGUAGAAUUCCAGGUGUAGCGGUGAAAUGCGUAGAGAUCUGGAGGAAUACCGGUGGCGAAGGCGGCCCCUGGACAAAGACUGACGCUCAGGUGCGAAAGCGUGGGGAGCAAACAGGAUUAGAUACCCUGGUAGUCCACGCCGUAAACGAUGUCGAUUUGGAGGUUGUGCCCUUGAGGCGUGGCUUCCGGAGCUAACGCGUUAAAUCGACCGCCUGGGGAGUACGGCCGCAAGGUUAAAACUCAAAUGAAUUGACGGGGGCCCGCACAAGCGGUGGAGCAUGUGGUUUAAUUCGAUGCAACGCGAAGAACCUUACCUGGUCUUGACAUCCACAGAACUUUCCAGAGAUGGAUUGGUGCCUUCGGGAACUGUGAGACAGGUGCUGCAUGGCUGUCGUCAGCUCGUGUUGUGAAAUGUUGGGUUAAGUCCCGCAACGAGCGCAACCCUUAUCCUUUGUUGCCAGCGGUUCGGCCGGGAACUCAAAGGAGACUGCCAGUGAUAAACUGGAGGAAGGUGGGGAUGACGUCAAGUCAUCAUGGCCCUUACGACCAGGGCUACACACGUGCUACAAUGGCAUAUACAAAGAGAAGCGACCUCGCGAGAGCAAGCGGACCUCAUAAAGUAUGUCGUAGUCCGGAUUGGAGUCUGCAACUCGACUCCAUGAAGUCGGAAUCGCUAGUAAUCGUAGAUCAGAAUGCUACGGUGAAUACGUUCCCGGGCCUUGUACACACCGCCCGUCACACCAUGGGAGUGGGGUUGCAAAAGAAGUAGGUAGCUUAACCUUCGGGAGGGCGCUUUACCACUUUGUGAUUCAUGACUGGGGGUGAAGUCGUAACAAGGUAACCGUAGGGGAACCUGCGGUUGGAUCACCU